RNAcentral lists this long non-coding RNA (40112 nucleotides) under Hordeum vulgare. Its description in RNAcentral is "long non-coding RNA (HVUL_LNC012717)". The stretch from base 28209 to 28295 matches the Rfam family "MIR1120/MIR1122 microRNA precursor family". Lineage: Eukaryota; Viridiplantae; Streptophyta; Magnoliopsida; Poales; Poaceae. The record is from RNAcentral.
CAUGCUGAUGGGGAAGGGCACGCUGACGCCGCACUUGCCGGGCACGCCGGAGACCUUGCCCAUGUUGAUGGCCUUGAUGCUGGUAGCGAGGCUCUUGAGGCACCUGCACGCCGUCUGCCGGUCCGGGCUGCUGCGGGCCAGGCCGUUCAGCCCCUGCACGCCGGAGCAGCACUCCUUGCUGAUCGCAGAAGCCCUCCCCGUGACGUACGCCACGCACGGCGCGAGCUUGGAGUCCACCUGCCCGCACGACAGCGCCGCCGAGGCCUCCCUGCCGGCCAUCAUCAGCACCACCGCCGCCAGGACAACGGCGGCCGCCACAGCCUUGCUGUUGAGACGAGCCAUCGGUUAAGCUAUCUGGCUAGCAGGUGAUCAGAUGAGUGGGUGUGGUGGUGUGGAGGAAAAGGGUGUGGUUUGGAGGGUAUAAAUAGGGGGUAGAGGUGAACAUGCAGGGCAUUUGAUGCCCGUCGCUGCCAGGUCGUUGGCGGGUGGAAUUAAUUCACAACAAUGCCGAUCCACCAUGCAAGUGCAUGUACUCGCUAGAGAGUACGCUGGCUCUCUUUGCAAUUGGCAUGUGUCUCUUUGCUUUUAUUUUGUUUUUUUACACGUUUUUUUUAUUUGCGGGAAGAAAAAUCUUCACGCCGUAGUAUGGGUACAUCCACAUCCAUGAUGCAGAGGGUCAAGUUAGUAAAGCUAUAUCUCCACAGGCUAAUGAGGUGGCGCACGAGAUUACAGAGUUUAGUUUCCUUAUUAAUAAAACAAAUGGUAUUUUGUGCUCCGCCUGGUGUGGCAUUUGCUGUAAUGAAUGAUUAUAAGAAAAUUUUAAUUAAUUGAUACAUUGGAGUGUUGUUAAAAAAAACUAAGAUAAGAGUGGGGAACAGAAAUUUUACUCUACAGGACAAAGUAGUGAUUGUAGUGGCGGAGGCCCCCGGUGAGCAAGGUGUGGCGGCUGCCGCACCUUAAUUUGGUCCAAGUUUUUAAAUACAUGUAUGCAUAUUAUCAUUUGCUAGCUUGCUGGCUCUCGCUAGAUGAAAAAGAAUUGCUGAAAAAAGAAAAAGGACACGCAGCCACCCUAAUUGGGCCUAUGGCAAGGCCAAACGACCCAUGCAGCCCCGCUAUUUGGGCCUAAUCCAUCUCACGAACAAGCCAGGCAGCUCCCUCCAGCGCGCAUGAAGCAAUUCCCCAACCCCAGCAAAGCACGCGCGCCACAAAUUCUAGAUAGCGCGACGGCGGCGAAGCGAAUUGCUGUGGGCGGCGAGCAAGCGGACGCAGUGGAGGACGACGGUGGGCGGAGGACAAACAGCGCAGCUGGUUGCGGCCGAAGUCGGGACUGGGGCACGGACAGGGCACCACUUGCAGCAAACGUCGAGUGACUGCUGUGACCAAGCAAACGACGCGGCGGCGGCCAGCUCCGCCUCCCUUACGAGUCCGGCCAUCCGCGCCUUCGCCUCUCUCUCCACAUAGUCCUCUUCCUCUCUAUUCACUCGAUUGAUCAGAGGACGGGAUUGGAUUGAACGACCGGAUAGUCCUCCGAUGCGCUGGCUGGUGAGCACAUGUUUGCUAAUUGCACAAUAUUUUUAAUUAUUUAUAUAUAUUCGUCGCAUCGUUAUAUAUUGUAUCUAGAAAUUUUCAUGUCCGUAUUUGUGUCUCUACAGGUGCUUCGUAGGUUACACACAUGUUAUUCAUCAAGAUCAAUUGAAUUCGAAAGAAUUGCAUGCUAUUAUGUUUAAGAGUCCGCCGUAUCUUAAUUUUUUUCCCUCUGGAUUGUACGAAAGCAGAAGAGACGAGAACCUCCGGCAGAUCAAAGGAAAGGCAAACCAUGAAUUUGCGCUCAGGGCAGCAAUAAAACAGGCCAGUCGACAUCCAAACUGGUCCCCGGAAUGUCUAGGACGGCAACUGAACUUUCUACAAUUCCGUAACAGAGCGGCACCUCCACAGUAUGAAAAGAAGUAUUAAUAGCUUGAUAGAUCCGUAACCUAACUGUUGAUGCCUGGUUUUAUUGGCCUUGUUACUAGUUCCAUGAAGGAGUAGUUGCCAUCUAGGUAGCUUGCGUCUCACAACAAUACUCAGCUCUGAAACGUUGCAAUAUUGCUCUCGAUUUAUGCACUAGCAGGUGGUCAAGGGAAAGUGUUCUUCUACGUCCGACCUCAAAUGAGCUCGGAUGAACAGUAAAUUCAUAAAAUAUUUUGAAAAUGCUUCAAAAAUCUUAAUUUUUUACAGCAAACUUUGACUAAUGUUUUAGUAGCUUGUAAAUUUCAGUACAAAAUUAUACUUUUUGAAGUCAUGGCAAAAAAAAAAUUAUUAGUGCUUCAAAAUGCUUUUAAAAGUAGCAUUUUUAGAGUUUUGAUUUUGUUAGAGUUGUGUCGAAUAUUAUUGUACAAGGUAUGUUACAGUUGGACUUGAAGUCGCACGGUGUGUAGACAAGGUAAGAGUCGUGUCCUAUUAGGACACCUUACCCUUAUGUCUUUUAUAUAAUGAGAGGGUAGACACACGAUGUAACCUAUGCCAACAUAAUAGCACAGGUACGCGGGGGAGCCGACGACGUGUGCCGGUGUCCGGGCGGCCGGGGUGCGGUAUUGUGACAGUGUCACGGGGAGGAGCGCCCGUAGUCAGGCCCCGGGGAUGUAGCCAUAUCGAUGAACCUCGUUAACAAAUCUCGGUGUCGUGCUCGUGUGAUUGCUUGGUUCUCAGUAGAUCGACGGAUUGCCUCGGAUUAUUCUAACAAGUGGUAUCAUGAGCAAGGUUCGAGGAGGCUACAGAUCGUUGAUCUAGAGGAAAAAAAGUUCGGCUUGGGUCGGUUGUUCGCAGGAAAGAUGUCGCCGACGGAGUGGCAUAGGCGGAUAAGAAAUCGAUUUGAAGCGGACGAUUGCAAAGAGCCAUCGGGAGCGGCUGGUCGGGCCAGCACGGAGUGUUUCUCGACGAGAUCGUAUCUUUCUGAACGUGGAGCGUGUGGCAGCGGCCGCGUAAGCAUGCACGACACAUAUGCAAGCAGCGGUGGUCGAUCGGUCGAUCGUUUGGGUGGAAAGGUGCUCGUUCGGAGGCGUAUGCGAGGCAGAGGCUUCAUCUCGAGCGCUGAGGCAAAUCACGCAGGCUGGGCGGCUAAAAGGGCCCCGCGGGCGUGCUUGGCGCAGCUGUAGGCCCGGACUUGCAAGGGCGGAUGAUUUUCCCAAGUGCUUUGAUGGGUUGCUGCCUAGGCAAGCCAUACGGGCAAGGCAAAGGAUCCGUGUGGUGUUGUGCAUGCAUGUGAGAUUUGUUGGUGAAAAAAAGUAAUCUGCCAUGAUAUGUACGUCCCUUUGGAUGCAACAUGAUUAAAGAAAAGGAGUUUUGGAAGUUAUGGAGAUAUGCUCGGUGUAUCCAUGGACACUAUCAUGAAAUCCGGUUUUCUUUUAGACGUGUUGAGAAUUGCACACGAGAUUUUACCAGGAGGUUGGCAGGUUGACGACGUGCGUAUAAGGUCGGAGGAGUCUGGAGCAUGCCGUGGCAGGGAUCUCGGUUAAAGCAGAAGAUGGCGGUUAUUUUAGCAACGACAACAUAGGAGCGUGAUGUUGAUGGUGGCCAACUUUUGAGGCGUGGAAACACGUGGUGCAUGCAUGAGGGCUUGUACGGCUUUGACGGACUAUGGCGCGGGGUUGAUUUAAGAUUGUGUACACAUGAGAGCUUGAAGUCAACAGGGCGUGGGGUAGCACGGCCAACUACAUGAAGUCAUGUUGAAGGUGGAGUUGGAGUCUAGUGAAAGAUUUCACUCUAAGCUGAUGGAGGGGCUACGGCGUAAAUGCAUGGAUAGUCGAAGCCUAUUUCAGCGGAUAGCGAGAGACGUGUGGAUCGGACUGGGUACCAAUGGUUUGAUGGAGACGUGAUACUCGGCAUCGGUCGGAGAUGAUCGAUGGUUCUCUGCAGUAGGGGUUUGAGUGGUGUGGGUCUGCAGCCCUAGAGACUCGACCAGGACAGCAGAGGCUCGACGCGGGGAUAGCGGCGAGGCGUGCGGUAAGCACGGGACACAGCGACAGACCAAGGCACUGGUGGUCAGACAAACAGUGCAAAGGAUGCUGAAGUAGUGUUGGCCAGUAUCAGAUUCAAGUCGGUGACUAGGUCCAUCGUUGCCGGUUGAUGGACGGGAGUUGACCAUGGAGAAUCUGAGAAAAGUGAAGGAAAGUCUGAAAUUGACAGAAGCGGAGAGAGUACAUGACCGUAUAUUCUGUGGUGUUCAUUGCACAUGGCAAAGUAUGGAUGACAACGGAGGCGGAGUGUUAUAGUUAUGGUAAAUGUGAGAGACUAUCCGGAAAAAGGAUGAGACAACUGCAAAUUUGACUCCGGGGUGACACAGGACGACUGUGAAAUUCCUUCAAGUUUCAGACAGACGGUCAAGAAAGAUCGAGGAUGUUGAGUUCAGGUAACUCUUAUAUAUGACAUUCAAUAUGCGGGUUGUUCAUUUUCACGCAGGUCAGUGAUCAGUGUGUGAUGGCGUUGAACGGAUACUCCGGAAGUUGAAAGCACAAAGUAGAGUAAUAAGGAACUUAACUUUGCUCGAGGGUUGAUUGUGAAGAAGACGAGAAGGGAUUACAGUUGCAGGUGGAGUCACAUGAAGUCUGGGAGUAGCAGUGGUUCUCAUGGUGUAUCUCAAGUCCAAUGUACAUGAAGGUUCGACGCAUGGACGAAUCCAAGGUGGUGGAGAAUAUUCGCCAAGGUGAAGUUUGUUAGAGUUGUGUCGAAUAUUAUUGUACAAGGUAGGUUACAGUUGGACUUGGAGUCGUACGAUGUGUAGACAAAGUAGAAGUCGUGUCCUAUUAGGACACCUUACCCUUAUGCCGUUUAUAUAAUGUGAGGGUAGACACAUGAUGUAACCUAUGUCAACAUAAUAGCACACGUACGCGGGGGAGCUGGCGGCAUGUGCCGAUGCCCGGGCGGCCAGGAUGCGGUAUUGUGACGGUGUCACGGGGAGGAGCGCCCGUAGUCAAGCCCCGGGGAUGUAGACAUAUCGGUGAACCUCGUCAACAAAUCUCGGUGUCGUGCUCGUGUGAUUGCUUGGUCCUCGGUAGAUCGGCGGAUUGCCUUGGAUUAUUCUAAUAGAUUUUGAUUUUUUUUUGUCAUGACUUUCACAAAUGUGAUUUCAUGAUAAAAUUUCACAAGCAUUUAAAACAUUUGUCAAAGUUUGCUAAAAAAUAAAUUUAUUUAAAUAUUUGUACAAUAUUUUUAAAUUUACUGUUCAUUCGAGCUCAUUUGAGCUCGGGUGCAAAAACAAUCCGUGGUCAAGUGGCUUUUCAGCUCAUUAGUCUCUACAGUAGCAGCUAUAAAUUGUUUGUUAAUUCGGCACGUCUCUGCAUUCUUCUGAGUGCACUUCUUCUUUUUCUAGCGUUAAAACUUGCAGCCCAUAUUGCUAAAAAGAUAAGCGUGAUAACUAGCCCACACCCUCAUCCACCGUUCAUCACUCCUUUUCAUCCGACCCUCACUAGCUGCUCUUGGGUUAGUACUAGCUCACUCCAUCUGGGUUUAUUAUGUUCUCUUGUAUUUUCCCGCAAAAAAAAAGGUCCUCUUGUAUUUUCUUCAAACAUUGAUCAUGGAUUUGGUUUCCAAAAUACAUGUAACUGGUAAGUUAUAUGUGCAUAGCACAUGAGAGGCCAGAUAAUCAAAUUACAACCUCAGGUAGACAAAAUGUUAUUUUAUUAAUUAUAGCUUGCAAAUGGAAUUUUGAGGUAUAUGCGUGAAGUAUAAGAUGCGAAAAUCACAUAAAAUAUGUCGAGCAUGUUUUGUCCAGGUAUCUUUUUGGCUAUUCCAAAGUUAUUGUUCUAUCCGGAAAGAUGAAUAUGCUUUAUGAAAGUACAUAGCCUUGAAUAGGAAGUAAAAAUGAAUGAUAGUUUGGAUAUUAUUUUUUGGAGAGUGAUUUUUCAGCUCACGAGUGCCCCUACACCCUCUAUGAAUACUAAAUUCAAAAACAAUUAGAUAACAAAUUCAAUUUUUUUUGAAAAUUUACAACGUCAAACAUGAUCAAACUUCGUAGGUGCUUGCAAGUUCUUAUGCCACGAAAACAUUCGAGGAGCUCUACACAAGAAAACGAUUUUAGUGCUUGAAAUUUUGAGCACUUUUAGUACUGAAAUCUGAAACUUGUGCGUAGACCUUUCUUUACACAAUAUUUUGUUAUGAAAACUUGCAAGAACUUAUAAAGUUUGGCCAUAGAUGAUGUCGCAAAGUUCUGAUUUUUUUUAAAUUAUUUUCUUAUUUUUUUGAAUUUACUGUUCAUAGAGGAUGUAGGGGCACCCGGAAGCUAUCACACCUUUCUCUAUUUUUUAGGAGAGUGUGAGUAUGGAAUAGUAUAGAAUAAAGUAGAAGUGUGCUCUAAGUUUUGUGCAAAAUGUCCAUAUGGAUUAUCCCAAUCUAGAAUGUUCUAAAUAGUACACGUGGCAAAAUCUAGUGAAGUAAUAAGAAGAUCCAAGAGUCGGCAACACUCAGAUUUGCCAUGUCUCAACAGUCGAACCGGCUACAUCCAACAAUUGUUAUUUCAAGUUAUUUAUAACUAUCUAAUGGUAUAUACAGACACAUUAUUAAAAAUAAUUAUUAGAUUCAUAUUCAAUUUUUUUUCAACAGUAGCAUUUUUGCUACCCCCCCCUCCAAGUAAAUAGGGCGCCUAAGGAAAUCCAGCUUUUCCAACUGUACAAGUCGCGAUCACCUCAAUUGCUCCUUGUUUCCAUCAUGUGCCUCAUUUGCUACACCUCCCAUGCAUUUCCGUGUUCCCAUCCCCCACCAUCAUGUUGCCCUUCUGAUAUAUUCCCCUUCUCAUAUGAAACCCUUUUGCAUGCAUUCAUCUCUUCUCCCUCCCGCCCCCCUCUUUGUUUGAAAGAGAUCAUGUGGUAUCUCCAUGGUGUUCCCAUUCUUUUUUAAAUCAAAUCGAGAUGGAUAGAUAUCAUCUCACCCCAUGCUCUUUCCUUCUCAAACUGCCCCCCUAUAAAAAUGGACGACGAUUUCACCAAGCAGGGCUGCUAGGAGGCGGGUGUUGGUGACGGUAUGGACGAUAUGACGAUGGCCAACUAGGCGAGGAAGUGGCUAAAUAGGAGGACACAGAUGGUUGUGAUGGCGAAGACCGUCGGGAAGAAGAUUUACCAGUCAUCACUUGCAGUUCAGGUGUGUGGAGUGACACCAAAUUGGAGAAGGUAGUGGAUCACCUGGAAAUGGCGGAUUAUCUUAUACAAGAGAUGAUUAAGCAUGAAGAGGCCGAAUAUCUAGACACCUUAAGAGUUUGGAGGACACCGAACUUUCUUACUAUGUCCUAAUUAUUGAUAAAGAGGAGGUCAUGGAGUUCCUCGGCAAGAAGCGUGAUGCUUAUGCUCUACUCGUGGAGGAAUCGUUUGAAGAAGAAGAAGAAGAAGAAGAAGANNNNNNNNNNGCUUUCAUGAAAAAACAAAGAUCAAGUUGUCGGUUGGUUUGCAUGAACAAGAAGAAAGCAAACACUUGUGAUGAGGACAUCAAUACCAUUGUUACACCCACAGCCCAAGCUGAUAUACAUACUUUCUAAUGUUCAUGAACAUAUGAUGCUGCCUAAGUUAGAUACUUUUGUUGUACUUAUGAAUGAAGGACCUAGCAUGGACAAGAAGGAUAUCCGUUGGAGCGGGAUCAAGCAUGGAGAAGAACGUGCACGCGCGGGAAAGAACAAUGGAGCUUCCAUUCGUGAUUUUCGUACUUUGAAGCCACCGUAAGGAGAGCAUGAAGGCUUGGACGAAAUAUUCAAGACGUCACUUUAUCAAUUUCGUCCAUUUGCUAUUAUAGGUGCUAUGCCACCUUAUUUUUGGGCCAGGCCCAUGUAAUUCGAAAUACCAUAUUAUAGGUUGUUUUUAGAGUCCGUAUGUGUGGGGAAAUUAAGUUUAGUGUCGUUUUCGGAUCCAUCCUCCAAGGGUCACGAAAAUCCCUUUGUGUUCCCUCAUAUAUACAACCCUUAGGGCACCGAUUAGGCUUGGGUUUUGUUUAGAUUACAAGUUCUUCAUAGCUUCAACUUCGCGUUCUUUGCUUGUGUUCCACGACCUGACAAACGCGUCACAGAACCCCACCUUCAUCAAUAAAGGUGUCCUCUUAUAUUCGCAAUAUCCAGAUUGCAAUCUUAGUUUCAUGCACGCUCUUCAUUUGCGUGCAGGAAACAAACCCUUGUGGUCAGCUUGAUCGUGCUCCGGCAUGGUCAAUAACCUCUCGGAGUUGGUUUAGCGAUUGCUAAGGCACGAUGUCCUCACACAUUCGUAUUCGGGUCAUCAAAGUCUACUCCUCCAAAAACGAUAACCACCAUCUCAUCGAAAGACAGGGACAACUUUACCUCUAUCAAGUGGUAUCAGAUUUCCAGGUUGCUGGGUGAGAUUUUCCAGUUUUUCGUAGUUAGAUCGCAUUUGUUCUUCACACCUAUAGUCCACGGAAAAGACAAAAAAUAGGGUUAGAUCAUCAUAUCCGAACCAAUUUGAGCCUUUGCAUAGUCUUUUUAGUAUUUUGCUUUGUUGAAUUUGCGGUUACAUCGUCGUGUCGAGUUGCUGGUCUUAGUGUCCAGUCCUUUAGAGUUUCGAGUUCUGUUCACAGGUUGUUACGCCGCCACCGCGCCAUAUUUCGUCGCUGUCAUAUACCACCACCACACUACCAUCAUUGCUGCUGCCAUAUACCACCACCACGCCACCAUCAUCCUUGCUGCCAUAUAUCACCACCACAUAUCCACCACCAAUCCUAGUCCAAGUCCUUUACGUAUUAGGUUAAUUUCGAGAUCCUCUUGUUUUCGGUUUUGUGUUUCCUUACCUGAGCAGGUUUCGGAGAAAAAAAAGAGUGUGGCAUGCUUUUCAGAGCACUUUUUAGGCCAAAAUUUCGGAGGGUGAAAGUUUUUUCCCUAUCGUCUUGUUAGGAUUUUUAGAGAGUUUUGGGACACUCGGCACCAUAGUGAUUUUUGUCGCAAAUUUUGGUCGUCGCAGGCCCAAAUUGCUCCGGGAAAAAAAUAGUCAAUUUGUUUUUCGUGCCUAUCAUGUUUUUAGUCCUUUAGAAGAGUUUUGAGACACUCGCCAUUAUAGUGAUUUUCUGGAAAAAAAAUCAGAGUGGCUCUUCCCUUGAUUACGAUUAGGGUUGUGAUUUUGUUCGUGUUCUAGGCUCGCAUCUCUAGUACGGUCUAGCCUAGGACCAGCAUGGUGCCGUCGUUGAGCGUCCUUUCAACUUUGCAUUUCUGAACAGAUUAUUGCUGAUCCUUUUUGCUACCAUAUUAUAAGCCUUUCCAGCUCCUCAUACAUCUACAUCAUGUGUUUGACACCACCUGGCAAUCGCUCUAUCCAAGCUUUGAGAGUUUUUACUACACCGAUUGCCGAUCAUCACCUGCUGCUGGGUAAGAACUGGUAAGAAUUUGAGAUUUACUUGACGGAUUUGUGACACACCACCACCAAAACUACCACCACCUCCACCACUUCCUAGUAGUUUGUAGGUUCAAAUUCUUCUCUAUUCCUAUUGCUGCUAACCAUGCCAGGAUCACCAGCCGAUGAUAUCGACUGGGAGAGUCUCACAAACCAGGAGAUCCAUGAUAAAUUUCAGCAAAUGAUGGCUGACCAGGUACAAGACUUCGUGACCAGCCUUGGAGAGGCCAUGGAGAAGCUCGGCGGUUUGGAGAAUACAUUCGACGCCAAGAUGGACGCCAAGUUCAAUGAGGUGCUUGCCCGUCUACCACCAUCAGUUGCAGCUUCCGUCCCUCUUCAACAACAACAACAACAACAACAACAACAACGAGGCCCGGACAUGGUGGGACGAGCGCGACGUGUGCCUUCCGACCAAGUUCAGAAUUCUGGUGUUUUUCUCCUGCCGCUCCUACUAAGGUUUCCGUGGCUGAGCAAAAUGAGGAUUAUGAUGGUGAUUACGAUGAUGAGGGAGAGGUUGCUCCAAAUCAGCACCAGGGACAACAACCACCACCACAAGCCGCAGGUCAUCCACAUGGAUACAAUCGCAAUGGUAGGGCUGCACCCCCCUCAGGUACGGGAUCAUGACCAUCUCCCUAAACUUAAACUAAAUAUUCCUACAUUUGAUGGUCGAUAUGUUCCUGAUAUAUAUCUUACAUGGGAGUUAGAAACAGAGCAACGUUUUACAUGCUUACAAUUCCGUGAAGAUAGCCGUAUUGCUGCUGGUGUUUGUUCAUUCACUAGUUUUGCUUGUGUUUGGUGGUCUGAACAUUGUCGAAUACAUCAUGCUAAUAUUCCAACUACUUGGGCUGCUUUAAAAACUGUUAUGCGUACUCGUUGGGUUCCACCAUAUUAUCAACGUGAAUUACGUCAAAAAUUGCAGCGUUUAAGACAAGGAAUAAAUUCUGUAGAAGAAUAUCAUUAGAAAUUACAAACUGGCAUGAUUAGAUGUGGUAUUGUUAAGGACAAUGAAGCUAUGCUUGCAUAUUUUAUGGGUGGAUUAAAUAGAGAAAUUUAGACUAUUCUAGAAUAUAAGGAUUAUAACACCAUGACACAUUUAUUCCAUCUUGCUUGCAAAGUAGAACGUGAAGUGCACGAUCGACACACAUUGUCGAGAACUAACUUUUAUUCCUCAUGGAAGCCACGAACCUCAUCUACUUCCAGACAUCCUCCGGCAUCAGCACCGCCUACUUCAGCAGCCAAUUCCAAUAAAGAUACCAAGAAACAGGCCCCUGCCCCAUCCUUCGCCAAGAGCACACCUUCCAGUCCAACAUAUAGCUCAUCUUCAUCCAUGGCAUCCACAGGGCAAACACAUGAGGCUAUCUGUCGUCGUUGCAAGGGCGGAGGUCAUUAUGCGAGAGAGAGUGUCCUUCCAAGCGUGUGAUGAUUAUUAUUGAGGAUGGUUGAUAUGAUUCCGCUAGUGAUUAUGAGGAGGAGACUCUGGCUCUUAUUACAAGUGAAGAAUAGGGUGUAGAUGAUGUUGAAUAAGAGACACAAUACAUGGCUGCUGACUAUGCUGACAGGUAUGAAAGCUUAGUUGUUCAACGUGUUUUAAGAGUGCAUGUAACACAGGCUGAGAAAAAUCAGAGGCACAACAUGUUUCAUACAAAGGGAGUUGUGAAGGAACGUUAUGUUCGCGUAAUCAUCGAUGUAGGGAGUUACAACAACUUAGCUAGCAUGGAGAUGGUGGAGAAGUUGUCUCUCACCACCAAACCACAUCCUCAUUCUUAUUACAUCUAGUGGUUCAACAAGACUGGCAAGGUUAAGGUAACACAUAUUUUUCGUGUGCAUUUUAGCAUUGCUACAUAUUUUGAUUUUGUUGAUUGUGAUGUGGUACCCAUGCAAGCAUGCUCCGUUUUACUUGGUAGACCAUGGCAAUUUGAUAAAAAAAUUGUACACCAUGGUAGGACUAAUCAGUAUACUCUUGUUCAUAACGAUCAAAAUAUAACUUUGAUUCAUAUCUCUCCUGAACAUAUUAUGAAAGAUUACAUUGCUAGAGCUAGUAAAGCAAAACAGGACCUACAUAAGAGUGAAAAUCAGAUUGUAGAAAAGGAAUUUGAGCAACACAAUAAGCUUAAUAAACCAUCAUCUAGUGUUGCAUCUGAAAUAAAACUGAAGAGUGGUUAUUUACUUGCCAGUAAAUCUGAUAUUACUGAUUUGGAUGUUAUUACAUUUGCUUGCUAUGAUUACGUAUGGAAAGAGGUAUUAUUUUCUUUCGAGGACAUGCCUCCCUCUUUGCCUCCUAUCGUUAUUAAAAUUUUGCAGGAGUUCACUAACGUCUUUCCACAAGACGUGCCACCGGGAUUACCACCUAUUAGAGGGAUUGAGCAUUAGAUUGACUUAAUUCCCGGUGCAUCGCUACCCAACCGUACACCAUACCGCACAAUCCACAAGAGACGAAGGAGAUUAUGCAUCAAGUAUAGGAGCUGCUCGACAAAGGUUAUAUACGCGAAUCUCUUAGUCCUUGUGAUGUUCCUAUUAUUCUAGUGCCAAAAAAGGAUGGUACCUCAUGUAUGUGUGUUGAUUGUAGAGGCAUUAAUAAUAUUACGAUUCGAUAUCUUUAUCCUAUUCCUAGGCUAGAUGAUAUGCUUGAUGAAUUAAGUGGCUCUACAAUUUUCUCCAAAGUUGAUUUGCGUUGUGGAUAGCAUCAAAUUCGCAUGAAAUUGGGAGAUGAAUGGAAAAAGACAUUUAAAACUAAGUUUGGAUUACAUUAGUGGUUAGCUAUGCCUUUUGGGUUGACUAAUGCACCUAGCACUUUCAUGAGAUUAAUAAAUGAGGUCUUACGUGCUUUCAUUGGACGAUUUGUGGUAGUCUACUUUGAUGAUAUACUAAUUUAUAGUAGAUCUUUGGAGGAACACUUGGAUCAUUUGCGUGAUGUUUUUAUUGCUCUUCGUGAUGCACGUUUGUUUAGUAACCUAGGGAAGUGCACCUUUUGCACCAACCAAGUAUCUUUUCUUGGUAUUGUUACUCCACAGGGAAUUGAAGUUGAUAAAGCCAAGAUUGAAGCUAUUGAGAGUUGGCCGCAGCCCAAAACGGUCACAUAAGUGAGGAGUUUUCUUGGACUCGCCGGGUUUUAUAAGCGUUUUGUGAGAGAUUUCAGCACCAUUGUUGCACCUCUCAAUGAGCUUACAAAGAAGGAUGCGCCUUAUGCUUGGGGUACCGCACAGGAAGAAGCCUUCACGGUUUUAAAAGAUAAGUUAACACAUGCUCCUUUACUCCAACUUCUUGAUUUUAAUAAGACUUUCGAGCUUGAAUGUGAUGCUAGUGGAAUUGGAUGAGGAGGUGUGUUAUUACAAGAUGGUAAACCUGCUGCAUACUUUUCUAAAAAAUUGAGUGGGCCUAGUCUGAAUUAUUCUACUUAUGAUAAGGAAUUAUACGCUCUUGUUCGGACUUUGGAAACAUGGCAACAUUAUUUAUGGCCCAAAGAAUUUGUCAUACAUUCUGAUCAUGAAUAAUUGAAACAUAUUAAAAUUCAAGAAAAACUGAACCGUAGACAAUUCAUUGAGACUUUUUCGUAUGUCAUUAAACACAAGAAGGGUAAAGAAAAUGUUAUUACUGAUGCAUUGUCUCGUCGUUAUACUAUGCUUUCACAACUUGACUUUAAAAUAUUUGGUUUGGAGACCAUGGAAGAUCAAUAUGUGCAUGGUGCUGAUUUUAAAAAUGUCUUGUAGAAUUGUAAAGAAGGGAGAACAUGGAACAAGUUCGUCAUCAAUGAUGGAUUUGUGGUCCGUGCUAACAAGCUAUGCAUUCCAGCUAGCUCCGUUCAUCUUUUGUUGUUACAGGAGGCGCAUGGAGGAGGAUUGAUGGGAAACUUUGGCGUAAAGAAGAUGGGGGACGUACUUGUUACAUAUUUCUUUUGGACAAAGAUGCGACGAGAUGUUGAGUGUUUUGUUGCUCGCUGCACGACAUGUCAAAAAGCUAUGUCAUGACUCAAUCCUCAUGGUUUAUAUAUGCAUUUGCAUGUACCUGGUGUUCCAUGGGAGGAUAUAUCUAUGGACUUUGUUUUAGGUUUACCUGGAAAUAAGAAUGGGAGGGAUAUCCUAUUUGUUGUCGUGGAGAUAUUUUCAAAAAUGGCACACUUCAUACCAUGUCAUAAAAUUGAUGAUGCUGCUAAUGUGGCUGAUUUGUUCUUUCAUGAAAUUAUUCGGUUGCAUGGUGUGCCAAAUACGAUUGUUUCAGAUCAUGAUGCUAAAUUUCUUAGCCACUUUUGGAGAUGUUUAUGGGCUAAGUUGGGGACAAAAUAGCUUUUUAGUACUACAUGUCACCCCUAAACUGAUGGACAAACUAAAGUAGUCAAUAGAUUAUUGUCUACAAUGCUUAGGACUGUUUUGAAGAUAAACUUGAAAAUGUAGGAAGAAUGCUUGCCUCAUACUGAAUUUUCUUAUAUUCGUUCACUGCAUUCUACUACUAAGAUGUGCCCUUUUGAAGUUGUGUUUGGUUUCUUACCUCGUGCACCUAUUGAUUUGUUACCUCUUCCAUCUUCGAAACAGGUUAAUUUUGAUGCUAAAGAACAUGCUGAUUUGAUAUUAAAGAUGCAUGAGUUAACUAAGAAAAACACUGAGCUUAUGAAUGCUAAAUAUAAACUUGCUGGAGAUAAGGGUAGAAAACAUGUUGUUUUUGCACCUGGAGAUCUUGUUUGGUUGCAUUUGCGUAAGGAUAGAUCUCCUUAUUUGUGCAAGUCAAAGCUAAUGCCACGUGAUGAUGGUCCUUUCAACGUGUUAGAGAAAAAAAUGAUAAUGCAUAUAGACUUGAGUUGCAUGUAGAUUUUGGGGUUAGUCCCACUUUUAACAUUGCAGAUUUGAAGCCAUAUUUGGGUGAGGAAGAUGAGCUUCCGUCGAGGACGAAUUCAGUUCAAGAAGGGAGGAUGAUGAGGACAUCAAUACCAUUUUACACCCACAACCCAAGCUGCUAUACAUACUAGACUAGUUACUAGAGCUCGCGCACGCCAAUUGAAUUACCACGUACUUUCUUUUCUUGGAAAUCCUUCUAAUGUUCAUGAACAUAUGAUGCUGCCUAAGUUAGAUACGUUUGUUGUACUUAUGAAUGAAGGACCUAGCAUGGACAAGAAGGAAAUCCGUUGGAGCGGGAUCAAGCAUGGAGAAGAAGGUGCACGCGCCGGAAAGAACAACGGAGCUUCUCCUGGUGAUUUUCGCACUUUGAAGCGAGCGCAAGGAGAGCAUGAAGGCUUGGAUGAAAUAUUCAAGAUGACACUUUAUAAAUUUUGUCCAUAGGCUAUUAUAGGUGCCACGCCACCUUAUUUUUGGGCCAGGCCCCUGUAAUUUCGAAAUACCAUAUUAUAGGUUGUUUUUAGAGUCCGUAUGUGUGGGGAAACCGAGUUUAGGGUCGUUUUCGGACCCCUGCUCCAAGGGUAACGAAAACCCCUCUCCGUUCCCUCAUGUAUACAACCCUUAGGGCACGGUUUAGACUUGGGUUUUGUUUAGAUUACAAGUUCAACGUAGCUACAACUUCGCAUUCUUUGUUUAUGUUCCACGACCAGACAAAGGCAUCACAGAACCCAACCUUCAUCAAUAAAGCUUUCCUUUUAUUUUCGCAAUAUCCAGAUUGCAAUCUUAGUUUCUUGCUUGUUCUUCGUUUGCAUGCAGGAAACAUACCCUUGUGGUCACGUUGAUUGUGCUCCGGCGUGGUCAAUAACCUCUCUGAGUUGGUUUAGCGAUUGCUAAGGCGCGACAUCCUCACACGUUCGUAGUUGGAUCUCAAAGUCUACUCCACCAAAAUGAUAACCAUCAUCUUGUCGAAAGACAGAGACAACUUUUCCUCUAUCAGCUUGGGUGCAAUGUUAUUGAACUUCAUGAACCCAAGCAUGCUCGCAAGUGAUGGGAGCAUAAUUCCUCCGAGCGAGUAGUAACUUUUUAAUUAUUUAUUGUGUGCAAAUCCAUCACCUUGUAUCGGUUUGACCGUUUCGGAUAAUGUACAAAACGAGGUGAAAGUCUGUUUUAAGAAUUUUUUGUGUGUGGAGUUUGCAUUGUAAACAUACCUUUAAUGCAAAUGAGUGACUUAUAUUCCAUUCAUUUACAAGGAAUAUUUUUCGUACCAUACUUUGUGUGAUAAGUGAUUAAAAACAACAUAAAACGCGGGCUUGAUCAUGUUAUAAUUUUAGCAAGGUUUCAUGGGAAGUUGAAAAAAAUGUUAUUUCAUGUCUGCUAGUGUGGAGGCAUCCUAAACAUCACAUAAUUCAUUAAGAAGAACUUGACAUGUUUAAAAUACAUUUAGACGUUUGUUACCAUACUUUGUGCCAAAGAAGCCAAAAACACUGUAGAGCAGUGUGUUCUGUUGCCAUGGAAGUGUUUUUGACUACCAUGCACAAUCUGUUGGGUAACGUAGCAUAAAUUCAAAAAAUUUCCUACGCAUAUUCAAAUCUUCCUAUGGAGAGACCAGCAAUGAGAGAGGGGUGAGUGCAUCUUCAUACCUUUGAAGAUCGCUAAGCGGANNNNNNNNNNCAUCUCGCAUUAAGCAAGACCCUGAUUCAAUGUUCAUGCUUAAAGCUGGUACUAAAUAACAAUUAUUAAGGUUUAAAACUAAUCCCGACGGUAGAUGUAGAGGUAACGUGCCGACGGCGAUCACAUCGACCUUGGAUCCAUUCCCGACGCGCAUCGUCACCUCGUCCUUUGCCAGUCUCCGCUUAUUCCGCAGUUCCUGCUUUGAGUUGCAAAUGUGAGCAACAACACCGGUAUCAAAUACCUAGGAGCUACUAUGAGCGCUGGUAAGGUACACAUCAAUAACAUGUAUAUCACAUAUACCUUUAACGUUGCCGGCCUUCUUGUCCGCUAAGUAUUUGGGGCAGUUCCGCUUCGAGUGACCAUUUCCCUUGCAAUAGAAGCACUCAGUCUCAGGCUUGGGUCCAUUCUUUUUCUUCUUCCCGGCAUCUGGCUUACCGGGCGCGGCAACGGCUUUGCCGUAUUUCUUGAAGUUCUUCUUACCCUUGCCCUUCUUGAAACUAGUGGUCUUGUUGACCAUCAACACUUGAUGAUCUUUCUUGAUUUCUACUUCUGCAGACUUGAGCAUCGAGUACAACUCGGGAAUGGUCUUCUCCAUCCCUUGCAUGUUGUAGUUAAGCACAAAGUCUUUGUAGCUUGGUGGGAGAGACUGGAGGAUUUUGUCAAUUAUAGCAUCAUCUGGAAGUUCGACUCCAAGUGAAGUCACACGACCGUGUAACCCAGACAUUUUGAGUAUGUGCUCACUGACAGAACUAUUCUCCUCCAUCUUACAGCUAAAGAACUUGUCGGAGACUUCAUAUCUCUCAACACGGGCAUGAGCUUGAAAAACUAGCUUCAGCUCUUGGAACAUCUCAUAUGCACCGUGUUGCUCAAAACGCCUUUGGAGCCCCGUUUCUAAACUGUAUAACAUGCCACACCUAACCAGAGAGUAGUCAUCACUCCGCGUUUGCUAGACGUUCAUAAUGUCCUGGGCUGCCGCGGGAGUGGGAGGGUCACCUAGCGGCACAUCAAGGACAUAAGCCUUUUUAGCUGCUUCAAGGAUGAGCUUCAAGUUGCGAACCCAGUCCGCAUAGUUGCUACCAUCAUCUUUCAGCUUGUUUUUCUCUAGGAAUGCGUUGAAAUUGAGGUUGACGUUGGCCAUCUACAAUAUUUAUAAAGACAACUUUUAGACUAAGUUCAUGACAAUUAAGUUCAUUUAAUAAAAUUAAGUAUGAACUCCCACUUAAAUCGACAUCCCUCUAGUCAUCUAAGUGCUACAUGAUCCAUGUUGACUAACCCGUGUGCGAUCAUCACGUGAGACGGACUAGUCACCAUGGUGAGCAACUUCAUGCUGAUCGUAUUCAACCAUACGACUCAUGUUCGACCUUUCGGUCUCUUGUAUUCGAGGUCAUGUCUGUACAUACUAAGCUCGUCGAGUCAACCUAGGUGUUUUGCGUGUGUAAAUCUGGCUUACACCCGUUGUAUGCGAACGUUAGAAUCUAUCACACCCGAUCAUCACGUGGUGCUUCGAGACAACAAUCCUUCGCAACGGUGCACACUUAGGGUAAUACGUUCUCGAAAUUUUAAGAGGGAUCAUCUUAUUAUGCUACCGUCGUUCUAAGCAAUAAGAUGAAAAACAUGAUAAACAUCACAAUGCAAUCAUAUAGUGACAUGAUAUGGCCAUUAUCAUCUUUGCUCUUUCGAUCUCCAUCUUCAGGCAUCGCAUGAUCAUCAUCGUCACCGGCGUGACACCAUGAUCUCCAUCAUCGUGUCUCCCUGAAGUCGUCACGCCAACUACUACUAUCACUACUACUAUAGCUGAUCGUUAGCAAUGAAGUAAAAGUAGUAAGCACAUGGUGUUGCAUCUCAUACAAUAAAUUAAGACAACUCCUAUGGCCCCUGCCGGUUGUCAUACUCAUCGACAUGCAAGUCGUGAAACCUAUUACAAUAACAUGAUCAUCUCAUACAUCAUACAUGCAACAUCACAACUUUGGCCAUAUCACAUCACAUGUCAAACCCUGCAAAAACAAGUUAGACGUCCUCUAAUUGUUGUUGCAAGUUUUACGUGGCUGAUUUGGGUUUCUAGCAAGAACGCUUUCUUACCUACGUGACAACCACAAUGAUGAUAUGCCAAAGCUAUUUACCCUUAAUAAGUACCCUUUUCAUCAAAUCCAAUCCGACUAGAGUAGGAGAGACAGACACCCGCUAGACACCUUUAUGCACGGUGUGCAUGUCUAUCGGUGGAACCAGUCUCACGUAAGCGUACGUGUAAUGUCGGUCCGGGCCGCUUCAUCCCACAAUACCGCCGGAAAAGAAUAAGAAUAGUAGCUGCAAGCAAUUGACAAAUCAUCGCCCACAACCUUUUGUGUUCUACUCGUGCAUAGAAUCUACGCAUAGAAAACCUGGCUCAGAUGCCACUGUUGGGUAACGUAGCAUAAAUUAGAAAUUUUUCCUACGCAUAUUCAGAUCUUCCUAUGGAGAGACCAGAAACGAGAGAGGGGUGAGUGCAUCUUCAUACCUUUGAAGAUCGCUAAGCGGANNNNNNNNNNNNNNNNNNNNNNNNNNNNNNNNNNNNNNNNNNNNNNNNNNNNNNNNNNNNNNNNNNNNNNNNNNNNNNNNNNNNNNNNNNNNNNNNNNUACGGCACCUCCGCGUUCAACACACGUGCAGCCCGGUGACGUCUCCCGCACCUUGAUCCAGCAACGAGGAGGGAGAGGUUGGGGAAGAACUCCAGCAGCACGACGACAUGGUGUCGAUGGAGAGACGAGGUCUCCCGGCAGGGCUUCGCCAAGCACCGGCAGAGAGGAGGAGAAAGAAGGGCAGGGCUGCGCCGAGGGAGAGGGAAAAGUGUGUCCCCCAAUGGCCAAAACCCCUCUCUAUUUAUAGGAGGAGGGGGGAGGGCUGCGCCACCCCUAGGGUUCACUCCCUAGGGGCCGGCGGCCACCAGAUGGGAGAGGGGGGGGGGCGGCCAGGGUGGGAGAGGUGUGGCGCACCACCUAGUGGGCCUAUGGCCCACCUGCGCCUAGGGUUGCCCCCUCUCCCCACCACCUACGCCUUUGGCUUGGUGUGGGAGGCGCACCAGCCCACCUACGGGCUGGUUCCCUCCCGCACUUGGCCCAUCUAGCCUCUCGGGGCUGGUGGCCCCUCCCGGUGGACCCCGGGCCACUUCCGGUGGUGCCAGUGGUCCCGGUACGUUACCGGUGACGCCCGAAACACUUCCAGUGUCCAAAACAAUCCGUCCUAUAUAUCAAUAUUUACCUACGGACCAUUCCGGAGCUCCUCGUGACGGCCGAGAUCUCAUCCGGGACUCCGAACAACUUUCGGUAACCUCGUAUAACAAUUCCCUAUAACCCUAGCGUCAUCGAACCUUAAGUGUGUAGACCCUACGGGUUUGGGAGACAGGCAGACAUGACUGAGACACCUCUCCGGCCAAUAACCAUCAGCGGGGUCUGGAUACCCAUGGUGGCUCCCACUUGCUCCACGAUGAUCUCAUCGGAUGAACCACAAUGUCAAGGAUUCAAUCAAUCCCGUAUACAAUUCCCUUUGUCCGUCGGUAUAGAACUUGCCCGAGAUUCGAUCGUCGGUAUACCUAUACCUUGUUCAAUCUCGUUAUCGGUAAGUCUCUUUACUCGUUCCGUAGCACGUCAUCGUGUGACUAACUNNNNNNNNNNCUGUCUGUCGGUAUAGAACUUGCCCGAGAUUCGAUCGUCGAUACACCUAUACCUUGUUCAAUCUCGUUACCGGUAAGUCUCUUUACUCGUUCCGUAGCACGUCAUCGUGUGACUAACUCCUUAGUCACACUGAGCUCAUGAUGAUGUUCUACCGAGUGGGCCCAGAGAUACCUCUGCGUCACGUGGAGUGACAAAUCCCGAUCUUGAUUCGUACCAACCCAACAAACACUUUCAGAGGUACCCGUAGUAAACCUUUAUAGUCACCUAGUUACGUUGUGAUGUUUGAUACACCCAAAGCACUCCUACGGUAUCCGGGAGUUGCACAAUCUCANNNNNNNNNNAAUACUUUCGGAGGUACCCGUAGUGCACCUUUAUAGUCACCGAGUUACGUUGUGACAUUUGAUACACCCAAAGCACUCGUACGGUAUCCGGGAGUUGCACAAUCUCACGGUCGAAGGAAAAGACACUUGACAUUAGAAAAGCUUUAUCAUACGAACAAUACGAUCUAGUGCUAUACUUAGGAUUGGGUCUUGUCCAUCACAUCAUUUUCCCAAUGAUGUGAUCCCGUUAUCAAUGACAUCUAAUGCCUAUGACCAGGAAACCAUGAUCAUCUAUUGACUAACGAGCUAGCCAACUAGNNNNNNNNNNGCAUACGAAAAAUACGAUCUAGUGCUACGCUUACGAUUGGGUCUUGUCCAUCACAUCAUUCCCCCAAUGAUGUGAUCCCGUUAUCAAUGACAUCUAAUGCCCGUGACCAGGAAACCAUGAUCAUCUAUUGACUAACGAGCUAGCCAACUAGAGGCUUGCUAGGGACACAUUGUGAUCUAUUUAUUCACACAUGUAUUACUGUUUCCUGUUAAUACAAUUAUAGAAUGAACAAUAGACGAUUGUCAUGAACAAGGAAAUAUGAUAAUAACCAUUUUAUUAUUGCCUCUAGGGAAUGUUUCCAAUAGGAAUCACCCUCGAUGGUUCACGCUUGAGGGGGUUGCACGACAGUUUCAUUAUCGGAAGUGGUGAUGGAGGAAUCACCCUCCAUAAUCCACCUCCAGUUAACUAGACUACAGGGUUAACAUUAGGAGUACAUUGCGAGGUAUCACCCUUGGUACACGAUGGUAGCUCUACAGAGUCGUACAACUAAGGGGGGUGUAAAGUGAGGUGACGGGUCAUGACUUGUCAAUGGGCUGAUCGAGUCUUCGGAUCUGCGAGUCUUCAAGUCGUCGAGUCUUCGAUGAUGAAGUAGGGGCAACUAGGACUUAGUGGGGCCACUAGGGAUCACUAAUCCACCUAUACUAAGCAUUUGAUAUGCAGUAGGGUACAAUAGUAGUUUAACAAAAAUAGGCUAUGCAUCCGAAUAGGAGCUAUCUAUAACAGUAGCAAAAUCUAAUGCAAUCAUAAGGGAGAAAGAAUGGGUGAUAUAGGGAUGAUCAAGGGGGGUUUGCUUGCCUUGUUGCUCUGCUACAAAAGGCUAGUCAUCAGUGGUGUAGUCGUACCCGGCAGCAGCGUCACCUUCAGCCUCUAGUGGAGAGAAGAGGGAGGAACUAACAAUAAAUACAAGCAAGUAGAUGCAAUACGAUGCAUGACAUGGUAAUAUGCAGUGCUAGGGAUGAGCUAAUGCGGUACUACACGUUACUGAUGGAGUGGGAAAAUAUUUGACGAUAUUUCCCGAGUCUUUGGCUACUACCGCACAAAUGGUUCGGAGAGGAAAGUUCCAAGUUCAACAUUCUAGGAGCAUGUGACACAUGAACGUAAAGCGUAUUCACAUUCGUGGAAUUUUUGUGAGCAACCUUCAUAUAUAAAUUAUUUUCAUCUGACUUAUAGAUUAUUUUAUAUUAAUUUUCAAAGUUUUAAUAAUAUUCUAAAAUUAAUUUAUAUUUACUUUAAUUCAAAAAUUGUUUUAAUGCGCGAGUAUGACAUCACAGGUCAACCAACCAGUUUGACUAGUCAAACUAACCAGCGGGACCCACCUAUCAUAGAGAGUGGGGCUAAGACCAGCUCUAGCAGACCCUGUGUAAAGCCGCGACCCGCAAAAUAACCGCCAAAAUACGGGUGGACGCGGAAAAUGCUGCCCGACCAGACCCGCAAACGCGUCCGACCCGUAAAUAUUUUUCAGGUGUACGGCAAAAUCCCAUCCCCAACCGCGAAAACGCAGGUUUCCGACUCGCCCGUACGGUGCCCCAUAUCCUAGGAAAGCAGUUGGCGGGAGGGAAAUUUCAGCCCUUGCCAUUUCCCCACCCCCUUCCGCCGCCCCCCGCCAUUGGUUUCGCCCGUCCGCUGUUGGCGAUUCCGGCCAAAUCUACGGGCGAAAUCGCGCCGCGGGGGCGCCCCUACCCUCUUCCACCGAGCCGCUGCACCGGCUCCCCUGAUCCGUCGAUCCACCACCGGAGAGCCACCGCCCCCGUGCAGUCGGUGAGUUUGUACUUAUGCUUGUGCCAAGCGGUAUGCAUAGUUGGUUAACGCGGUGCGCGUAUUUGUGAAUUCAGAUGGAAUUGAGCCCGUGCGAGAAGCUUUUGCUUGACGAUUUGGACGACUCAGAUGUUGAGACGAUGCUUGUCAACUAUCGUCAUCAGACGUUGGUGAUGGACCUUGCCGUGAAGGAGCACGAAUAAGAGAACCGAAAGAGGCGGCAAGGAUCGACCGUUGACCGUCUUUGCAUUCCUCGAAAUCGCCAUGUCAAAAACGAGAUGUUGACGCAAGACUACUUUGUGGACAAUCCAACAUAUUCGUCGCACCUCUUCCGGAGAAGGUAUUGAAUGCGUCGAUCCCUCUUUGUGAAAAGUGUUCAAGCUUGCAAGGCCAAUUGUCGGUAAUUUGGAUGAUUAUUGUAUUGUAAUAUUGACAUUGUUCUUGUAUUGCAAAUUAAUAAUUCUGAAUAUGUGCAUAUGUGUCAAAUUCACAUAAAACCGCAUUUGAUAUGCACGCCGGCAUGGGCGCCGGCAAAACAGACACCGCCUAGCGGAACUGUAAAAUGGAAUAUUCGCAUUUUACAGUUCCGUUAUGCAGGGUUUGUUCGGCGAGCGCCCAUGCCGACCUGUAAAACUGUUUUCCGCGAGCUGUAUACGAGUUUUGCGGGUCGGCGAUAUACGGGGUGCGCUAGAGAUGCUCUAACAUGGUUUAAUUUAAUUAAAACAUCUAACUAACCUAAGAGGGCCCAACGUGUAAGUGGGUUAUUAUUUUUAAAUUAAUUAGAUUAAUUAAUUUCAUUUAAUUAACAUGUUAAUUAGGGGGGUCCACUAGUCACUCAAUUUGCUAAUUAACUUGAACAUUUUAAUUAGUCCUAAUCUAAUCGUAUGACAAACGACGCCCACGGGUGAGUGAGCCAGUCGAGCUGUUAGUUGCUCGGGACCCACUUGGCGACGGCGCGCCGGCGGUAGCACUCCGGUGGCCAAAAUAGCCGUCGGAGGGCUUAUGCCUCAUCGGAAUCUGGCGGUGGGCGGCUAUCUGGCGCACACUAGGGCAUGUUCGAUCGGGCGUAGGGCGUCGCAUUGACUGGGGUUGGUAGUCGGGCCGGGAGCGGCAGGAUUUUGCACCGGCAACGAGCCUAGGUGGAGGCUGUUGGUGGGGCUCAUCGGAAACGGUGAUGCGGGGCACGUUUAGCGGCACGGGAGGGCGUGGCGGUGCGCGUGCGUGGGUCAUGCGUGCACAUGUAGCAGAACCAGCUGCAAGCAGUGGAGGCACGGACCAACCGCGGACGAUGGCACGGCGGCGCGCGCGGGCAGCAGAGCAAAGGGUGUGGACAGAAGGGGAGGGGCGACUGUUCAUAGUGGAGCUCGAGGGAGUUCUCGGGGUAGCCGAGGGUUGCCGGAGGUGAGUGAAUCUACGGCGAGAAGCUUCGGUAACCGGCGGCACUAACGAGUCGAUUCCGAUGUUGCGGUGAUCUCCACCUUGAUCCGGUGCGUGGGUGAACGAAAGGGAGGCAUGCGGAGCUCCAUGAUGUGUCGGGGCGACGUGGCGUGGCCGGUGGUCUCGGGAACGGAGAGACACGGCGACGGUUGCUCUCGGAUGACUUUGAUGGAGAGCAAGCGUUGCGUGAGGGAGAGGGAGGAGUGGGGCUAGGGUUUGCCGGGGUGCUCUUGUAGCCAUGGCCACAUCCCCCCAUUGAGUAGUAGGAAGGAGAAGAGGGAUCAAGAUGGGUUGGGUGUGUCAUGGUGUUAGAUGGGCCAACAUGCACAAUAGAUUAGGCCCCUUUUAUUUUAUUUCCUCUAGUGUUUUACUAUUUCUGCUCUGUUUUGUACUAUUUUUACACAAAAUGAUUUUUGUAAAAAUGUGGAACUUGUCUCAAUAGAUUCUUUGUAAUAUUUUGUGCUGCCACAAAAAGUAUGAGAUUGAAAUAAAGUAGUUUGGCAUUUUUAUAAUUCAAAGGGCAUUUAAUUUAUUGUUUUGGCAUAUGUUGUGAUUGUUUUAGAGCUUUAAAUUGCUUUAGAAAAUGUUGGUUUCACCAAGACAAAUACUAUGUGAAUAUUUGCGACCCAACCAUGAGUUUAAUUUUCAUGUUUGCCAAAAUAUUUAAUCCACUUAUUAUCUGAAUUUUGAAUUUUAAAAGAAAUUAUAAAUGGGGUAUGAUUCCAAGAUUGAUCAUGCACUAUUUAGCAAAAUGUUGGUUUCACCAAGGCAAAUAGUAGGUGAUCAUUGUAACUUGAUUACACGGGUACUGUAGUUGGUAACCAGGGGUGUCACAGUGUGGCCCUAUCAUCCAAGAUGGCGGUGAUGUUGGUGGUGAUUUCUUUGACGAGGAUAGUGUUUGAGUUCAUGCAUACCUUCGGUUGGGAUCAAUAUACUGUUUAAUUGUUUGUAUUUAGUGCGGCUAGGCUGAAAGAAUUGAUAAAACAAUCAUCCUUCUCUAAAUAUAAGGGAUGUGUUCGGUUUGGACACCAUUAGAGGAGGAUAAUUACCCUCCUCUAAGGAUACUCAACCUUUUACUCCUCUAACGGACAGGGGACUGGUUUGAGUUUCUCUAAUAUCCAUAGAAGUUAUUAAAUUGUCUUCUGUUGGAAUAACAUAAUCCAAAUGUUUAAUUAGCUUUGGUGCAAAAAAAACCUUCUCCUUAAUUUGAUGGAAGGUACGGUAGUAGUGGUGGAGCUUCUUACAGCCAAAGUGGGCCACCCCCUCUCUCCACCCCAGCCCUUCUUGGCUCCCUAAAAAAUUUUGAAUGGAAGGUUUUUCCUUCAUUGUUAAAUAUUUCUGAGGGAAAAGAAGAUAAAUGAUGUCUCUUUUGGGAGCAAUCGCCCAUAUAUUACCCUUUUUUGUUUGUUGAUGAAAGUAUUGUGUUUCUAAAGGCCUCGUAUAAGAAUUUGUUGGGUCUGAAAAAGAUCAUGUAGGGAGUCCCUCGACUGAAGAUUAUAUUUGGUUGGCGUACCACUUAUGGAGUAAAAAAACUUGCAUUGGGAGUACCAUGAUCUUCUUGCUUGUCGGCCUCUCAUGAAGGAUGGCUGGCUCUUUGGGCUAUAGACUAUCCAGGCAAGAUUAAGGUGCACACAAAGAGCUUAUUCAAAAAGGCUUGGCACUAGGAGCAGAUAUUGCUCAAAAAGGAUCCAAGGCGGGUGUAAUGCAUAACAUGCGGGAGAGAUGAGACAAUACAUCCCAUCUUUUGUACUAUGGUUUCGCUCGUCAUUGCCACUCCUGCUACUGUACCUCUCCUCGUCCGAGAGGCAUUCAUUCUCUUUUGAUGCCACUUUUGGUUCCAUAUGUGCCCUAAUUCUGCAAACAUAUUGUGAGUGGUGGUGCGAGAACUGAUUGUGGGGGCAACGACCUCCAAAGUGUGAACCAAUCGAUAAUGACGAAAUAACUACUUGAGAAAAUGAUCUCCUCUCACUCGAUUUGGUGAACAAUUUGUAACAUAGUCGACCUUGGAUACACAAAAGACUAAGAGGAUGGUCUAUUGAGGAAGGCCAAUCUACAUAAAUAAAUAUACCUUGAUAUGUGGUGAGAUAUAUGUUUAUCCAUUUCUUUCACUAUGACUAAUGAGCUUGUUUUUACACAUUAUAUGCUUGAGUUCAUACAUAUUAUUCUAGAAAUUUGUCUCAAAUUUUCCAUUAGCCUUUUUAGUUUGUCCCUUUUCAUCUUGUAAGGUUUUUAAUUGGAUUAUAUCUUCUAUGGACUUACCAUGAUAGUCGAAACCAAUUCAGGAAUAGAGUGGAGAAGAUAUGGUAGUCUUAUUUGAAUAUUUAUGGGAGAGUCAUCAAGAUUAUCUCAAAUAGAGAAGUCAAAAAUGUAAAGUUAUUCGCCUAACCAAGAAGAACAACUUUAUUUUUUAGGUAAUCUCAAUAUGACCUUGUAUGCACUAAUUAUAGUUAUGUUACCGAACCAGCACCAGAGAGAACAAAUCACAAGACAAGCAACAAUACUUCCAUAUUAGGUGGUAGCAACAACCGUACCACGAGACGAUAGUGACGCAAAAGACCCAAACUACACGAUCUCAUUUUGGCCAAUUCUGGUGCAUUAGAGCGUUUCAAAAUUAGGUUAUAAUAAGGAACAAACUAAAUAUAUCUAACUAUAGCUCCCCGCCUUAUUGUGGUGCAAAAAUUCUAAAGAAUAUAUAAAAAACAUAUUUGAAAAUUUCAAACACAACGAGAAUGGUUUUUCUUGAAAAUUUCAACUCUGUUAAAAUUUUGAACACAUUUUAAAAACCAAAGUUUUUGUAUUUUGAACAAUUUAAAAAAUGAAACAUUUUCUUAAAUUAUGAAGAAAAUAUGAAAUCAUGAAUAUAUUUCAAAAAAUCGCAUAAUCAAUUUUGAAAACGCAAACUUUUUUGCAACAUCACAAAUGUUUUUCAAAAACACAAACUUUUGUUGAUUUUGUGAAAAACAAAAUCAAAAGAGCGACAUUUUGUGAAAAUGCUUAAAAUUAAUUUAAACACGAACAUUUUUAAAAUUUGUGAUAAAUAUUCGAAAGUGGGAGCAUUUUUUUCAAAUUUGGAACAACAUUUGAAAACUAUGUACAUUUUGGAAAUACUAAACAUCUUCCGGAACAGCAAACAAUUUUAAAAUUCCUAACCAUUUUAUUUAAAAGGUAAGGAAACAUGAUUUUUUCUUAUUUGUGAACAAAGUUAUAGAAUAUAAAUAAUCAAAAAAUAUGGAAUUGCGAAAUAAAAAGUAGAUGUUUUGUAACAAAAAUAUUUCUUUCAAUUUUGUGAAUAUUUUUAUUUUGGAAAAACUAUUUUGGAAAUAAAAUAGAAAUCCCAAUAAAACGAAUAAAUAUAAAAGAAAAAUUAUAAACCAACCAAAACCUUCUUGUUAGUUCCCAAAACCGGUGAAAACCCAGAAACAAUCAUUGAAAGAUUCGCAAAACCAAUGUGUACAAUAGCUGAACUUCGGCCGGCCAACUCGAGCUCUAGCAUUUCAUCUCCAAACAAAACCCUGCCAAUUUGGGGAUUCCCUAUUUGGCGCGGCAAGCACCCGUUACAGGCCAUUUUGCUAACGGGUGCCUGCAGAGCGCAUCCCCUCUUUGCGACUGGGUAUCCCCUCUCAGUCUGGCCUCUUUUUUUGUUAAUAUUUCAAAAAAUAUGGACUGGUAGCAACCGUCACCUAACUAACCCGUACACCAUCGCAAUCCAUGUGAUUGAUCAUCGUUUCCUCCCUUUUAUUCUUGUUUUCCUGGGUUUUUUGGUUCGCUACAGUUUUGGGCAUUUUAUUCCGUUUUUCUUGUAUUUUUCAUUGUUUUCGGAAAUGUGCAGACUAUUUUUUUAAAUCCUUAAAACAAUUUUUUCAGUUUUCUGAACUUUUUUUCAAAUUCGAUGAAUUUUUGUUCAAAAUCGAUGCACUCAUUUUUUAAUUCGAUGAACUUUUUUCUAAAAUUUGAUGGACUUUUUUUAAAUACGGUGGACUUGUUUAUAUUUAGAUGAACUUUUUUCAAAUUCGAUGAACUUUUUUUCAAAAUGAAUGAACUCUUUUUUAACUCGAUGAUUUCUUAAAAUUGGAUGAACUUUUUUGAAAUUCCAUGAACUUUUUUCAAAUUCUAUGAACUUUUUUUGGAAACCUAUUAACUUUUUUCCAAAUUUUAUGAACGUUUUUCAAAAUGACUGAAUGUUUUAUUAAAAUUAAUGAAACUUUGUCAAAUGUGAUAAACAUUUUUCAAAUUUUAUUAUUAUUAUUUUUUAAAUCUGUCAACAUUUUCACAUUUGAAGAUUUGUUUUUGCAAAAUCAGUGAACUUUAUUUUUUGAAAAAUCAAUGAACUUUUUGAGGGCCUGCAGGGGCGCUAGAGCUGUUUUAUGGGCCGGCCCAGCGUGGAGCGCUGCAGGCGCCAAUAACGCAAACGGGCGCCUGUAACACCGUAUAGGAGGUCUCGCCAAUUUGUCGGUUAUAAUUCGUUAAAUAGCGUUUCACCGGAAAUAUGUACCCACGCACUAAAAUAUAGUAUUGGUUUGUAAGAUAAUAUAGGAGUAGUAUAUUUUUUGACUGCGAACAUACCAGGACACGCGGGACUCACUUUCCGGAGCGGGCUCGCUUGCCGGAGCAACAAGGACUCUCCCUUUCUAGGGAGAUUAGAGAAUGUAAAGAUAUAAAAAUAAUAUUCCAGAAAAAAAUGUGUAUAUUACUAUGUAAAAUUGUUAAAUAGCUUCACAUAAUAAAGGUACUCGUAAGCUUUAUUCCGUGUUAUGCCUUACUAUCACUUUGCAGGUACUCCGCAAAAAAAUGCACUUUGCAGGUACGUCUAUGAAAAAGCAUCGCUCUUUUAGUACUCCCUCCGUUCCUAAAUAUAAGUCUUUUUAUAGAUCCCACAAAGACACUACUCCCUCUAUAAACUAAUAUAAGAGUGUUUAGAUAACUAGAAUAGUAAUUUAAACGCUCUUAUAUUAGUUUACGGAGGGAGUACAUACAAAACAAAAUGAGUAAAUCUAUACUACAAAUUGUGUCUAUAUACAUCUGUAUGUAGUCCCUUAGUAAAACCUUUAAAAAGACUUAUAUUUAGGAACGGAGGGAGUACUACACAGUAUGUAUGUGAGUGUUAUUCAUUAUCUGUGGAUUGUGUCCUAAAAUAUUAUACGAUGGAGCCCAUACUUGCAUAUACUAUUUAUCUAUCUUUAGAAGCCCAUGAUUGCUGGAAUUAAAAGGAUGAGCUAACAAAUACAGCAGAGACCCGUGUACAGUUGGAAAUUAAAUUCGUGGGCACAGAGCUCGUGGCUGUGAGCGAUCAGUGGGUCUGAUUAAUUACCGAAUGUAGGCCAUUUAAGCCGAGAAAACGAAAGCUGCAAGACCACCUAAUCCUAAUAACGCAGACAACUUCGUUUAAACAAAAUAAAAUAAAAACGCAGACAACUAUAGCACAUCCCAGCUAUACUACUCCACGAUGUAGGGUCUUGUCUCUCUGACUAAUGAGUUGUAGGUCGUCAGUUUGUGGUUUGCAAUCUACUCCCUCCGUAACCUAUUAUAAUAGUAUUUGGAUCAUUAGAAUAGUAAUUUAAAUGUUUUUAUGUUAAUUUACGGAGGGAGUACGUACUAAGUUUGUUUGCUUCCAUCUCAAAAGAAAACAGUUUAUGUGCUUCGACAGUUCGUAGAUGGACCUCACAUACUGUAGGAUCGAUAAUCUAAUUGGUUCAUUGCGCGCUUUCGCAUAGCCUGAAUUUCUGUCAAUGUUUCCGCAAAAGAAAAGGAAUUUCUUUCAGUGAUAGACGCGCAAACCAUGGACCAUUUCACAUGGGCAGGCACAUGUGCAUCGGUUUUGAACCGUUCAUCCGCAUCGUGGUCCGAACAAUGGUGUCGACAGAAAUUCGUUGAAAAUUAUAUUCAAAUUUGGUACUCUCUUAAUACGAGAUAAUAUACAUGUUUAUCUUGUACAAAUACUUCCUUUUUUAUUAGGAGGCCAUAAUUAUAGACAAAACUCCAACAAUUACAUGUCCAAUCACAAUAAGUUGCGUCAAACUAAUAAUUGAUCACGUGAACACUAACUUAAGUUCAUCUUCUAACCUUGAUGAUACAACUAUGCUUUCAUCCUUAUUGGUGUUAGUUAAUUUAGGUAUCACGCUCAAGAUAUCCGACAAUCUAUAAGCUCGUGAAGGAUCCGGUUUGGAGAAACAAGUUUCAAAUGAAUCUGAUGUUGUAGCGGCCCAGGUCGUCGUAAAUGAAUAUCUGAUCACCAGAAAUGAUUCAAAUGCGAAAUCUAACGGACAAAAUCUCCAAGGUCAUGAGAGAGCUCGGUUUUCGUGCAGUUUACUAUCCUAAAUAAAUAAAUGAAAAGAGUUUUUUUUCCAGCAAUUUCUGGUAUUGUAUAUUUGCUCCUAGUUAAGGCUUUUGUGGGAUGCUACUAACAAAUCCACCACAUUUUAUUUUUCGAAGUUCUCAUGUGACAUUAUAUUUCUUUUUAGAUGCCUCAAAAUUGAAGUAUAGAACUGUUUAUGCAACCAGAUUAUUUGCUUGUAUAUCCAUUGGUUUCACCUACACAUAUUAUUAUAGUCAUUCAUAGCAACGCGCGGAGUUUUACCUAGCUACAUAAUGAUUAGGAUGCCUCUACACGGUACAUAUGAAAUAAAUAUUUAUAAUAUUUUGCAAGUUCGCAUGAAAAAUGUGACAUGAGACUAUUUUUUGGGGUGCGUUUGGUUGCCUUGAGUGAGUAGUGCCUGCAUUUCAACCACAUCUCACUAGAGUCAGGUUUAGCAAAAACAUGCAACAAACCAACAUAUGCAUGUUGUUUGGUUACGUGCAUUGCAUCAAAGUCCACUUUAGGAUCGGCUGUUUGGUUGCCCGCAUUUGUUCUUAAGGGGUGAUCAGAGAAAACCACAAUUGUUUGACUGCAUACACGUUUGUAUUUUGCUCACCGCAUUCAAAUGUCAUGGCCUUACCACCACAUUAUGCACAACAACAUAGAAAUCACUAACAGAACGUAAACAAGCAGAUUAACAACAACAAACAACAUAAAACAAGAAGAUAAAUACCAGAUAAACCAUACUGCUAACUAGCUAGCAUCGACAAAAGUAAGUCAAGGGAAUCCCAUGCCCCUUACUUCAACACAGGGUGCUGAACCCCGUCAAAAUAUUAACAAGUUCCCAGCAAUGUCUCACACCACCACCUCAAACUAACUACUCCCUCUAUCCAUAUAUAUAGGGCCUAAUACGUUUUUUGAGGCUAACUUUGACCACAUGUUAGAGCAAGUAAUAUAUGACAUGCAAGUUACACAAAGCAUACCGUCAAAUUCGUACGUGAAAGGAGCUUACGAUGAUAUAAUUUUUAUAUUAUAUAUCUCAUAUAAUAUUAAUCUUAUCAAUAGUCAAACAUAGUCUCGGAAAAGGCAUUAGGCCCUAUAUAUAUGGAUGGAGGGAGUACAAGUUUAGAGGGACACGAUCAGAGGGCGAAAGCAACGUCAGUGAUGUAGUUGUCCCUGCCGCAGUGCACCCUGCACCCGUUGGAGCUGUCGUGGUUGUAUAUUUGAACCUUGAGGCCGAGGCCAGAGAUGUGCAGCCUAACGAGAUCACUAGGGGCAAUCCUGUGGCGGCGGCAGAAGUACUCCCAGCCCCUACCGAGGACCAUCCGGCCCUCGAAGUUCUAGACCUGGACCUAGAACUCGUACCACUUGUUGGUCGAGAGCCUCAUCACAUGCGGGAGCUUCACCGUCAGCCACUCCUUUACUACCUCCACAAACUUGGGAGGGAUGAUGACCAUGGCGAGGUCCUCCUCGUCCAUGAUUUGCAUGUACUCCCUCCGUUCCUAAAUAUAAGUCUUUUAAGAGGUUCCACUAGGGGGGACUACAUGCGGAUGUAUAUAGACAUAUUUUAGAGUAUACAUUCACUCAUUUUGCUCUGUAUGUAGCCCUCUAGUGAAAUUUCUAGAAAGACUUAUAUUUAGGAACGGAGGAAGUAGAAGCGAAGCGGCUCUCAGGACCACUCCUCGUGGCCGGUCUGAGGAGCUCAUCCGCUUGAACGCGGUUGACUCAUGAAGGAGACCCUGCGAGGCAGGUUCACCCUCUUCAUCUAGCAAUUCAUGGGUAUGAAGUCCACGCCAGCCUCGGCACCAGCGACGACAGCUGGUCCUCCUCCAACCUUGUCCCACCCCUUCUUCAUCACCUUGUCAGGUAAGAAGACAUCCAUUAGUAACAUGGACACUAGUACUACCUAAAGUAGCAACCACAUUGGUCCUACCUACCAUGAAUACCAUGCACGUAGCAAAAUCGGGCAACAUAGCACAUGAACCCUAAGUAUGAACAUCAAACACAUGAAGCAUAAGUAUGAACGUCAAACACAUGAACCCUAAGUAUGAACGUCAAACACAUGAACCCUAAGCAUGAACAUAAGAGACACUACCACAUGAACUCUAAGCAUGGACAUCAAAUAUAGCACCAAUAUAGCUAACUAGCACAUGAACCCUAAACAUGAAACCCAACACCUAACUAUCCUGCCUAUGAACACUACUAAGCAUGCAUAUCAAAGCAAGAACACUACUAUAAUGCCAAUGAAUAGUACCACAUAAGAAGGAAUCGAAUCCAAUCGAUUCAAUUCAAUUUGAAUUGAAUCGAGUCAAUUCGAAUCAGAUCCAAUGCAUGCUAGUAAUGAAAACCCAUAUCUACACUUCUACGGAAAGAGAGGGAUUAGGGUUCUUACCGGAGCGGCGCGAGCGUACGCUGGCCGGGGAGAAAACCCCGGCGGGAAGGAGAUGACUGGUGAAUAGGACGAGCCACCAAUGUCGACGAUCGUCGAGGAGGAGCCGCCAAUCCCGGUGCUCGUGGCCAUGCGUGCAAUCAAGGAGGAGGGCGCCAGCAUCCAUGGAACAAACCCUUGGAUGAGGGGGGGGCGAACCCCACCAACAGAGGGGGUUCCAACCAACGACAAGGUCACCGCCCCUUCCGGUGGCGCACCGAACCCAGGACCACGAGAUCCGGAUACGACGGCAGAGCUGGAGCAGCCGACACCGCAGUGGGCGGGUGUGGAGGCCUGGUGCACAGCGGAGACGACGCCCGCAAAACCCUCAUCUAGUCCACCCCGUAGUUCUCAAGCCAACAACCACCGCUCAUGGAUGCAGUUCUCGCCGGCGCUGAUGGGGGUCAGCGGACGGCACGGCUGCAGGCGACUCAUCAGAGUAGAGGAGAGGAGAGGAGAGCGAUGGGUGAUGUGGGGAGUGAGAGGCAGUGGUGUGAAUGCAGUACUGGACGGUGACAGGAGAUGGAGAGGUAGUUAUGAGACGUCUCGUCCGUCUCCCGCGCCUCGCGAGGCGUUCGGCCAAGAGCCAUGCGUGGGCGUGCUCCGCCAAGCUGCGGAGAAACUUCCGAUUCGGUAGUAGCUCCCAAUCCAGACCUCAAACUACUUUAAGUUCCAUGCGGCCCGAAACAUGGGUGCAACCUAGUUAACCAAACAUGCCGUUUUCUACCCGCGAGGGCUUGGUUGGCCCAAAUGCGAGCAACCAAACAUGUCCUUGGUGUUUUGACACAAAGUAUGAAAAUGAUGUGUUAAUUUAUUUGUAAACAUGUCAAAGUUCUUCUUACUAAAUUAUAUCUUGUUGGGGAUGACUCUGCAAUGGUACAUAUAAAAUAAAAAAAUUAGACACUCUAUUUUGACACAAAGAUUGUGUUGGAAAUAUGCCCUAGAGGCAAUAAUAAAAUGGUUAUUAUCAUAUNNNNNNNNNNNNNNNNNNNNNNNNNNNNNNNNNNNNNNNNNNNNNNNNNNNNNNNNNNNNNNNNNNNNNNNNNNNNNNNNNNNNNNNNNNNNNNNNNNNNCUUAAGGUAUCCUAUGAAUACACAUUUCUCCGCUUUGGGUUCGAGCUUCUCUAGUUGAAGUUUCUUCACAUAAGCAUCGCAUGCCCAAACUUUUAGAAACGACAACUUAGGUUUCUUGCCAAACCAUAGUUCAUACGGUGUCGUCUCAACAGAUUUAGACGGUGCCCUAUUUAAAGUGAAUGCUGCAGUUUCCAAUGCGUAUCCCCAAAAUGAUAGCGGUAAGUCGGUAAGAGACAUCAUAGAUCGUACCAUAUCCAAUAAAGUCUGAUUACGACGUUCAGACACUCCCUUACGUUGCGGUGUGCCAGGCGGCGUUAGUUGUGAAACAAUUCCACACUUCCUUAGGUGUGUGCCAAACUCGUGACUCAAAUAUUCUNNNNNNNNNNNNNNNNNNNNNNNNNNNNNNNNNNNNNNNNNNNNNNNNNNNNNNNNNNNNNNNNNNNNNNNNNNNNNNNNNNNNNNNNNNNNNNNNNNNNNNNNNNNNNNNNNNNNNNNNNNNNNNNNNNNNNNNNNNNNNNNNNNNNNNNNNNNNNNNNNNNNNNNNNNNCUGAAAUUCCUUGAACCUUUCAAACAUCUCAGAUUUGUGCUUCAUCAAGUAGAUAUACCCAUACCUACUUAAAUCAUCGGUGAGAGUGAGAACAUAACGAUAGCCACCGCGAGCUUCAACGUUCAUUGGACCACACACAUGAGUAUGUAUUAUUUCCAAUAAGUCGGUUGCUCUCUCCAUUAUUCCUGAAAAUGGAGUCUUAGUCAUCUUGCCCAUGAGGCACGGUUCGCAUGUGUCAAAUGAUUCAAAAUCCAGAGACUCUAAUAGUCCAUCAGUAUGGAGCUUCUUCAUGCGCUUAACACCGAUAUGACCAAGGCGGCAGUGCCACAAGUAUGUGGGACUAUAAUUAUCAACUUUACAUCUUUUGGUACUCACACUAUGAAUAUGUGUAACAUCACGAUCGAGAUUCAUCAAGAAUAAACCAUUCACCAGCGGANNNNNNNNNNNNNNNNNNNNNNNNNNNNNNNNNNNNNNNNNNNNNNNNNNNNNNNNNNNNNNNNNNNNNNNNNNNNNNNNNNNNNNNNNNNNNNNNNNNNGUUUUUAUUGCUUGGUUUGAGAGUCUGAUCUGUAGCAUAUACUGUCGUUAAUAUGUUUUAUGGCCCAUCUGCAGCUGUUUUGGGCCGUUUGCCUGGCACCACUGUGUACAGGAAUACAUUGCAGUACCCUGAGGCUUAUACAUACAAUGGGAUUGUUGUUGUCCGUGUUGAUGCACCAAUCUACUUUGCCAACAUAAGUUACAUAAAGGACAGGUCAAUAUCUUCAUCUGUUUAAGAACUUUGUUUCACUANNNNNNNNNNNNNNNNNNNNNNNNNNNNNNNNNNNNNNNNNNNNNNNNNNNNNNNNNNNNNNNNNNNNNNNNNNNNNNNNNNNNNNNNNNNNNNNNNNNNNNNNNNNNNNNNNNNNNNNNNNNNNNNNNNNNNNNNNNNNNNNNNNNNNNNNNNNNNNNNNNNNNNNNNNNNNUUUGUGAUCCUCGAGAUGUCUCGUAAGCCCUUCAAUUUUCUGUUGCAAUGUUUAUAUGGCGCAGACAACACUGCUGCCCGCAACUAUUAUUUCAUUUCCAUUCGAAAAAGAAUCUCAAUUGUACUCAUCAGACUACCUAGAUGAAUGGAUUAAAUGAUGGAAUUUGUUUGGCAUGCAGCUGUUACGUACAUUGACUCAAGCGCUGUUCAAGCUCUCAAGGAUCUGCACCAAGAAUACAAAGCACGCGACAUCCAGGUUCUUACUCUCAGCAGUUCUUCUAUUCACUAGUUAAGUACUCCAUGAUUUUUGUUGGUGAAGGUACCUGUGUGGAGCCAGCAUUUCAAAACGUUGGAGGCUUUUUGAUUGAUUGCAGAUCGCUAUAGCGAACCCUAACCGGCAGGUGCACCUACUGCUGUCAAGAGCGGGGAUCAUCGACAUGAUUGGCNNNNNNNNNNNNNNNNNNNNNNNNNNNNNNNNNNNNNNNNNNNNNNNNNNNNNNNNNNNNNNNNNNNNNNNNNNNNNNNNNNNNNNNNNNNNNNNNNNNNNGAGUUCAUCGUCGAAUGCCAUCAAGUUAUCCCCACAGGCGUCUGGGCACUUGACGGAGUCUCCCAAGGCGCAGCAGCGGUAUGGCUUCCUGAGGAACCUCUGGAAAGCACAAGAUGGGAAUGGGAGCGCCGGUGACGAGGCCCAGUCGUUGCUGCGCCAAAACCUUGUGUAGCCAACUGUCUCCCUCCCUCGGUGCCAAUCGGGAUGCAUGCAUUUGUAUUUGUGUUGUUGUGUGCAUGUAGAUUGUUCAGGGAAAAAAAUAAGGAUGCAAAUAGUCAACCCCCCCUCCUCCUGUUNNNNNNNNNNNNNNNNNNNNNNNNNNNNNNNNNNNNNNNNNNNNNNNNNNNNNNNNNNNNNNNNNNNNNNNNNNNNNNNNNNNNNNNNNNNNNNNNNNNNAAUCAGUGCUACUAACAUUUCGCACUCGGCUAUACCGAUUUUGCACAUAAACAGAUCCGAUGCCAAACACACCAUCUCGGUAGAACCAACAUUCUUAUCGGUGCUACCGAGAUUGGGUGACCAACAUUCUGUUGAGAUAACUUCAAGUUUUGGAAUUUCUGAGUUUGAAGUCGGUCUCACCGAGUUUGGGAACCAGUCUAGAUCAUCCUAUCGAUACCACUGAGAUUCAUAUAUCGACCUCACUGGGAAUUCAAAGUUGCCACAUUUAGUGCAACUCGGUACCACCGAGAAUGGCAUUUUGGUGUCACCGAGUUGGGAAAUAAUGUUGUAACAGUUGGAUUUUUGGAGAUGCCUAUAUAUACCCCUCCACCUACUUCUCAUUCGCACAGGAAGCACUCAGAACAUACUUACACUUGCCACAUCCAUUGUUCUGAGAGAGAGUGAAAGCACAAUUGCUCCCAAAGUUGGUCUUGGUAAUUAAUCACAACAUAUGCAUCAAUGGAUUACAGAGAUUAUCCAAGUAUUUUUCAGAAGAGUUCAAGCAUGCUUUGGCUAUAGAAUUGAGUGGAGACGCCCAUUUCAUGAAGGAAGGAUAAGAUUUGCUAAGGAAGAAGACUCUUCAUUUUACACUUUGUGAGAAAUCACAUUUGAGUUCAUAGGAAAGCCAAUGCUAUUAAAAGGGGAUGAGAUGUUAUGAUGAAUUGGUUGCUCAAGUGCUUAGAGAUAGCCAACAAAAAUACUCAGCCACUCUUCCACAAAAUAUAUCUGUCCCAAGCCAAAUAUCCAAAAUUGGUGCCACCAACAUUUAUCACUCGGCCAUACCGAUUUUAGACUUAGACAGAUCCCAGCCAAACCUACCUUUUCGGUGCAACCAAAUCUGCAUCGGUACUACCGAGUUUAGGUGACCAAACUUCUAUUGCCUCGGUACACUAAAUCAGAGUUUCUGAGUUUUUGUCUCGGUGUCACCGAGUUGUGUCAUCUAACCGUUAGUCACCUUUUCGGUUCUACCGAGUUGUGUAUAUUGGUUCCACCGAGAUUCAAAGUUGCUACCGUUUGAGCAAGUCGGUACCAUCGAAUUUGUAACUUUUGUGUCACCGAGUUGGUCAAUUAUGGUGUAACAGUCGGAUUUUGGAGGUUGCCUAUAUAUACCCCACCACCUACCUCCCACUCCUAGAGGAAGCACUCGGAACACACACUGCAUUGCUAGAUCCAUUUUUCUGAGAGAAAACCACCUACUCAUGUGUUGUGAUCAAGAGAUUCCAUUCCAACCAUUUGAACCUUGAUUUCUAGCUUCUCGGAGUUGCUUUCCACAAGAUCAAUCUCUCCUGCCCUUGCCAAAUCUGAAAGAGAGUAAUUGAGUGUUGCAGAUACUAUCUUGAGAAGCACAAGAGCAAGGAGUUCAUCAUUCUAACACAUAUAUUACCUUUCGGAGGAUGGUGCCUCCUAGAUUGGUUAGGUGUCGCUUGGGAGCCUCCUACCUCGUGUUGUGGAGUUGAACCAAGAUGUUUGUAAGGGCAAGGAGAUCGCCUACUUUGUGAAGAUAAACCGUGAGUGAGGCUAGUCCUGUGUGGAUGGAAGCCGUAGUGGAAUAGACAAGGCCGCUUCUUCAUGGACCCAUUGUGGGAGGAGACCUCCGUGCACUCUCGCAGUCGUUACCCUAUGUGGGUUGAAGUCUCCACGAACAUGGACGUACGAUAGCGCCACCUAUACUAACCAUGCCAAAAAAAAUUGUGUCAACCUCUUGCGUUUGAUCUCCCCAUCCUUCCUUACUUUACACCUGCAUGUUUUACUUUUCGUUGAUAUACUCUUAGAUGUGCAUGUGUAGGGUGUACUUGACUAGUCAUAGUUUCAAAAUCUGGCUUACGCUAAAAAUUGGGAAAAAGCUAAGUUUGUAUCUUGUCAAUUAGUCUAAUCACCCCCUUCUCUACACAUACUUUCAACCCUACAAGUGGUAUCAGAGCUUUGGUCUCCAUUGCAUUGGUUUCACAACCUAUGAGAGUAUGGCGUCUAGUGAGGGAAGUUAUCACAGUACAGGUCCAUACUUCGAUGGCACUAAUUUCUCUAAUUGUAAGGAUAAAAUAAAAUGCGUAUUCUUGGUUAUAAUCCUGCCGUUUGGGCUGUUGUUUGUGUNNNNNNNNNNNNNNNNNNNNNNNNNNNNNNNNNNNNNNNNNNNNNNNNNNNNNNNNNNNNNNNNNNNNNNNNNNNNNNNNNNNNNNNNNNNNNNNNNNNNCAUCAGCGGGAUUUGGAUACUCAUGGUGGCUCCCACAUGUUCCACGAUGACCUCAUCGGAUGAACCACGAUGUCAAGGAUUCAAUCAAUCCCGUAUACAAUUCCCUUUGUCUGUCGGUAUAGAACUUGCCCGAGAUUCGAUCGUCGGUAUACCCAUACCUUGUUCAAUCUCGUUACCUGUAAGUCUCUUUACUCGUUCCGUAGCACAUCAUCCCGUGACUAACUCGUUAGUCACACUGAGCUCAUUAUGAUGAUGUUCUACCGAGUGGGCCCAGAGAUACCUCUCCGUCACACGGAGUGACAAAUCCCGAUCUCGAUUCGUACCAACCCAACAGACACUUUCGGAGGUACCCGUAGUGCACCUUUAUAAUCACCCAAUUAUGUUGUGACGUUUGAUACACCCAAAGCACUCCUACGGUAUCCGGGAGUAGCACAAUCUCACGGUCGAAGGAAAAUACACUUGACAUUAGAAAAGCUUUAGCAUACGAACAAGACAAUCUAGUGCUAUACUUAGGAUUGGGUCUUGUCCAUCACAUCAUUCUCCCAAUGAUGUGAACACGUUAUCAAUGACAUCUAAUGUCCAUGAUUAGGAAACCAUGAUCAUCUAUUGAUCAACGAGCUAGCUAACUAGAGGCUUGCUAGGGACACAUUGUGAUCUAUUUAUUCACACAUAUAUUACUGUUUCCUGUUAAUACAAUUAUAGCAUGAACAACACACGAUUAUCAUGAACAAGGAAAUAUGAUAAUAACCAUUUUAUUAUUGCAUCUAGGGCAUAUUUCCAACNNNNNNNNNNNNNNNNNNNNNNNNNNNNNNNNNNNNNNNNNNNNNNNNNNNNNNNNNNNNNNNNNNNNNNNNNNNNNNNNNNNNNNNNNNNNNNNNNNNNGCAGUCAUUUCCUACUCUUGAAGGACUACUUCGAGACCCCCAACCGCUUUUCCACCCGACCAAUUUCAGCCCCAUUUUUGUAUGGCAAGACAUGUGUUCAACCGUAUCCAGGAGGGGGAUGGCGUGCGAUAAGUAUUUUGAGUGCAAGGAGGAUGCCCUUGAAAAGAUUGGCUUCUCCUCUUAUUAGAAAUGCACUGCAGCUAUUCCGAUGCUUGCAUAUAGAGUUCCCAGGCAUAUCAUUCAUGAGUAUGUCCAAAUGAGCGAGUCCACGUGUCUAAACUACAUUUAUAGGUUUUGAAAGGCUAUGAUAGCAAUGUUUGCCCCGGAGUACUUNNNNNNNNNNNNNNNNNNNNNNNNNNNNNNNNNNNNNCGGAGUACUUGAGAGAGCCAAAUGUUGCAGACACAACGCGGUUGUUGGCGAUGAAUGCCAGGAGGGGCUUUCCGGGAUGCUUGGUAGCAUAGAUUGUCUGCACUGGGAGUGAAAGAACUAUCCUCCUACUUGGCAAGGACAAUAUAGGAGACAUGUUAAAGCUUGCACUGUCAUACUCAAGGCCGCGGGUUCACAAGAUCUCUGAAUUUGGCACUUUUUUGGUAUGGCCGGAUCUCACAACAAUAUCAACGUGCUUUAACGCUCUCCGUUGUUUGCCACGCUUGCAGAAGGCAACUGCCCGGAGGUCAAUAUUGAAAUCAAUGACCACUACCACAACAAAGGAUACUAUCUACAUGACGGUAUCUAUCCUCAAUGAACUACUCUUGUGAAGACAAUCCUCAACCCUGUAGGAGAGAAGAGGAAGAGAUUUGUGCAAGAGAAAGAGAGUGCUAGAAAGGAUGUGGAACGUGCCUUUGGUGUUCUUCAAUCUCGAUGGGGCAUCGUUCGGUAUCCUCCUGGAACUUGGAGCAUCAAGAAAUUGUGGAUUGUGAUGAUUGCUUGCGUGAUCAUGCACAAUAUAAUCGUAGAGGAUGAACGCCUGGAACGUACCUUGUGACCAAUGAUUUUAAUUUCAAGAUGACAAUGUUGUGCCUGAGCAUGAAGGAGCGACAACAUUUGCACAGUUCAUCGAAUUUUAUCAUCAAAUGCGUGAUUGAAAAACUCAUAUUCAGCUGUAAAAUGAUUUGGUUGAAUAUAUGUUGGCUCACAUUAACAAUCAGUAGAUGUAGCACCUAUUUAAAAAAUGUAUUUGAGAUAAUUUAAGUUUUAUUUGACUUAUAGAAUAUGAGAUAUUUUAUUAACUUGUGGUACCAUGAUAUAUUUGUAUUUUGUUUGAAUUAUGUGAAGUAUGGAUAUAUUUUUUUCAUAUCAUUGNNNNNNNNNNNNNNNNNNNNNNNNNNNNNNNNNNNNNNNNNNNNNNNNNNNNNNNNNNNNNNNNNNNNNNNNNNNNNNNNNNNNNNNNNNNNNNNNNNNNAGCCACGUGCAUCGAGGUUUCUCCCUGCC